RNAcentral lists this unclassified non-coding RNA (282 nucleotides) under Hevea brasiliensis (rubber tree). The record is from RNAcentral. Lineage: Eukaryota; Viridiplantae; Streptophyta; Magnoliopsida; Malpighiales; Euphorbiaceae.
CUUUAGUUGUUUGUUGCAAUUGUGGCCAAGCCACUUAAACUAUACUUGGUACAUGUACAGUCGGAUACUAUUAAGGCUAUCAUAGAAGCAUAUGUCAACAGAAGCGAAAAUUUUUAAUACUAAGCUACUAAGUACAUUAGAAUAUGUAUUUAAUUAAUCCAUUUAUGUUAUAAUUUUGCAGGUAAUUAAUGAAUGUAGGUAAUUUAGCCACAAUUAUCAAGGAAUAAACAUGGGCUUUAAUUGACUAAUUUCAAAGUUUAGACUACAAUUGCAUCAUAUAAU